Molecule: unclassified non-coding RNA, 2739 nt
Filed under: Leishmania donovani
Lineage: Eukaryota; Euglenozoa; Kinetoplastea; Trypanosomatida; Trypanosomatidae
Description: gene:LdHU3.32.3680(CDS-product:hypothetical_prote in)
Source: RNAcentral
ACACAUACCGCUUCAUCUCUGCUGCCCCUCUGUCUUGCCUUUCCCCGUCCAGCACGCGUAUGCGCACCAUGGCAACAGCGACGGUACAUGGGCGAGAGCGAGAGAACAAGCAAAGAAUACACACACACAGGGUAACACCCUCUCUUUCCCUCUCUCUCCCAAUGGCCAACAACACACAACGACUUACAGCCCCCCCCCCCCCCCCCCCUCGCCCCAACUUUUCUCCGCCGCCACAUCCAGCACGCAAGCAUUGGCGCACGCGCUCUUCCGUCUUCUCGUCCGCUACGCUCCUUACCUCACUCGGCAGAACGGGCGACGACGGCCAAGACAGUGCUGCCUCGGCGCGCUUUUUGUUGGCUGCCGUAACUUGGCUUCGUUCUCUUCUUCGUCUGAUGUUCGUUAGCUUGCGGGGCCGCAGAAGCGGGGCGACAUCUCUUGUCCCCAUUGCCGAGCCGCCGCUAGCUCUCCUGCACACGUCCCACACACGAACGCAGAGACACGCACGCCUGCUCAUCACCGCGUACUCUGCAAGAAGCAUGUCUCUCGGUAGCCAUGCGGAGCGCGGCCUCCCCCUGUCGGCUUCGCCGCAAAGGAUUAGCAGGUGGACGGGGUAAUCGCUGGAGCCAAGGCGGCGGCGGCAGCCUCAGCGUGUGAGGGUAGCGUUUCCAACAUUGCGAAACCGGCCUGGUGGGUUGCUGUGUUUCCGCACAGCGAGUACGCCGACGCUGGCAGCUACUACAGGGGCCUGCUGUGCCACAUCCAAACGAAGAGCAUUUUUCUCUUCGGUGAUGCUCACCGGGCCUAUCUGCUAAACUGGCUGAACAAUACCACCUUCGGCGUCUCAAAUGCGUGGGUGAUGCCGCACAGCCCUGCGAAGGUGUUGGUGAUGCGCGAGAGGCUCAUGGAGGAGUUGCCCAAAUACAUACACGAGGUUCACGGAGAGAUGCAGCGCAUCGAGUCCUCGAUCGAAGCCAUCAUUCCAGUUCCUGCGGCGCCACAACAAGGACAUCGAUAUCGUGCCAAUCGCAGCGUCGUAUAUGUCUUGUGCCCCUAAUGGUGCGAAUCGCGUUCGCUCUCGGGCACACCAUUGCGAAGGCGACCGUCAACCACCAGAUGAAGUGGGCAGGGACUUUGCCGUCGUCAUCGCGACGGACGCCGUGCACUGCGACAACGAGGACCAGUUCCCGGGCCGGCAGUACGCGCAGUUCAGCACGGAUCAGGAGGCCCAGCAGCUGGCGGUGGAGCACGGGCACAAAAUUAUCGACGGCUGCCUCGAGGGAGAGCUCGACGUGUCGCGGGUGAUGACAAUCUGCGACUAAACCAUCUCUAAGGAGGACUUCCACGAGUAGAAGCGGAUGCGUUGCGGCCGAUACGUGGUGCCCUGCGGCCCGCUGACCAGCUACCUUUCCCGCAACAGAGCCAAAAGGCGGCGCCACUGGAGGGUGUGCUCUCGCCUUAAGGCACCAGCGUUGGCAGUCGAGAUCACAUUUGUGAGGGAGAUAUCAACACAUGGGCACCACCGCACCCGCAAACCUGCGCCGCGGGGUCAGCUUCGCCAGCGCCGGCUGCGAGUAAAAGUGCGGCUCGGCUUUCCUACUCUCCUCACUCGCUGCCUCGCUGCGUUUCUCGCGUGAGCUGCGCGGCAAUCAUUGAAACGCCAACUGACACCCGCAUUCUUGCACAGGAAAAACGAAAGGAAGGGAACGGAGCGCCAACGGCGCGGGGGCGCGUUUGGGCCACGGCGGGCUGCAGAAACACGAAAAGAUCCAACGACGAGAGACGUAAGGCAACACGACCGGUGCUGUCCUCCGCACAGGUGUCCGGCACGUAUACUUUUUGUGCUGUUACGCGGGUAUUGGCGGGUAGGAAAGUGGAGAGGGCCACUUGAGUGCCGCUGACCGCCGCGGCGUGUGCGGGCGGUGUGCGUCGCAAGGACGGCGCCUCAGGUGCCGUCAGAUUGCUCGUGUGUGUGUGUGGGGGGGGGAGGUGGAUACGUGCGCGCAUGCGCGGAUAUCAAGCAGUCCGGGCAGAAACACAUCUGCCUGUCGCCUGCGCAUCGACUUCGUCUUCAUCUUCAGCCCUGCCUUCGGCCAAGAGCACAAGUGGCGCUGCGUGGCUGUGGACAGCGCACACGGCGCGCGUGCGUGCGUUUUGUUCUCCCCAUGAAGUAGGGCGACCUUGCUAGAUGCGCGCUAGCGGACGUCUUGGCCUGCGUAACGCAGCCGCACUCCUGCACCGCCUCCCUCUACAUCUCCCCUCCGUCCUCAUCCUUUGUUCCAGAGAUUGAGCCGCCGGUUCGACCGCGGCCGUUCCUGCGCCCCUUUGGUGUGUACGCGCGUGUGUCUCUGUUUGCCUCCGCCACCCUUUCACUCUCUGCAGCGGCGGAAAAAAAAAAGAAGUGUUGCUGUUGCUACUGGCUGCUACGCGUUGCCCGGUAGCGGCAGGGCGCGCACGCGCGCGCAGAUACAGAGGCGGUGAAAGCGCUCACAGCCCGACCCCUCCCCUCCUCCCUCGCCUCAAAAACAACAACAAAACAAAAUGACACCGACAACAGCGAAGGGAAACGUGCCCAGAAACAACACCAAGAGAAAAAAGAGGGCGAGAAAGAAUAGCGCUGCUGGAGGAAAGCUGGAGACGACACUUGGACUUCGUCCUGCACUUGCACGACAGCAAGCGCGACAGACUGGGGGCGGAGGAAGGGCCGAUAACCCGCGUUCCCCUUUCCUCGCUUGCCAUCAU